This 1436-nucleotide long non-coding RNA is filed under the name Heterocephalus glaber (naked mole-rat). Its description in RNAcentral is "lncRNA (ENSHGLG00000049896.1)". Lineage: Eukaryota; Metazoa; Chordata; Mammalia; Rodentia; Bathyergidae. The record is from RNAcentral.
GGAGAAGUGGACAGGAAGAGUAAGGCCCUCGGAUCACUCCAGCAUCUGCAAAGCCCACGUUUCCCGGCCCUGCACUGUGAGAUAGCCUCAGCUCAGAAACCAGCGUGUGGGGUCACAUCGCCCGGCAACGAUGAUUUGUGGAACGCUAGAAUUCUCCACAUGCAAAUCUAGUUUGCCUUAAAGUAAAGAGAUAGCUAUACCUAGGAAAUGUAUACACACAGCGCAAGUAUAUUUGAGAAGCUGAGGAGAAUCUGCAACCGCGAGGAGAAAACCACUCCGAGCCACCCCACGAGCGAGCGAAGGUCUUGGAACCAGAGAGAAAGGAAAGGAAGAGACACACGUAGAGAGCAUGUGUUACCUGGUUUAUUUCAAGAUUGUUUGAUACCGUGUUCUCUCUGGGCUCCUCUCAUUUCGGAAGGCCAUCAGAGGCGCCCACCACUGAGCCGCCCCUGCCCGCAGCCGCAGCCCCCGGAGCCCAGGGCCCGGCUUCCCCGCGGCGCUGCAGCCCGAGCUCGCCGCCUCCCGGGCCCAGGAACCGAGUAAGUAACCCCUGCUCGGCCCAGCGCGGCCCGCUCACUUCCUCCUCCUCCUCCUCUUCCCAAAGGCCCAAACCUCUCCCCACCGCCUCCUCCAAGGUUAGGGCGCCCCUCGGCACACACGCCCGGGCUGGGCCUCCCGCGCCCUGGGCGCACAGCUCCGGCUGGAACCGCACCUUAGACAAGGGGCCCAAUUUUGCUGCGGGCUCAGAAAUGCCAGCGCCAGGCCUGCAGGGCCGACUCAGAAAGUAGUGCCUGGCCUCUUCCUCCUCCAUUUCCAGCUCUCGGCUCGCAUCCUCUCCCUGCACUCCCACUCUUCCCUCCACCACCCUUCCAUCACCACCACCCCCGCUUUUAAAAAUAAAAUUGGAUACAAACUUUAAUCAAUAAGGACAAAUAUUGACGCUCAAGCGCAAAUGGCCCAACACAAUGAGAAGGACGCCGACAGUGUGAGCUAUCUAUCUGCCCUAGGAGAGGGGGUUCGGUGGAACGGAGCCGACGGGGCGCAGGGAGUGGCGGGGUGCAGAGCGGGGCUGCGGAGCGGCUGCUCCCCGGAGUAUCCGUGCGCGGCUCCGCGGGUCCGAGCCCCGCGCGCGGAGGGGGCGGUGAGCGCCCGAGGGGGCGGCAGCCGCAGGCGGGGCAGGGGUGGGUGGGCCCGGCCCCUCCGAUUGGUGGACGGCUACACAGACGCUCCCGAACGCCGCCGGCUCUGAUUGGCCCAGCGGUAGGAAAGGUUAAACCAAAAAUUUUUUUACAGCCCUAGUGUGCGCCUGUAGCUCGGAAAAUUAAUUGUGGCUAUAGCCGCCUCGAUCGCUGUCUCCCCAGCCUCGCCGCGGCCGCUCCGGGACGCGCCCGCCCGCCGCCUGGCUGUCCCCCCCUUUGGGCUGCUGCGGUGCUGCG